RNAcentral lists this non-coding RNA (214 nucleotides) under Enterococcus sp. Its description in RNAcentral is "T-box sequence". It matches the Rfam family "T-box leader". Rfam says of the family: Uncharged tRNA acts as the effector for transcription antitermination of genes in the T-box leader family. T-boxes are found upstream of many aminoacyl-tRNA synthetase genes and some amino acid biosynthetic genes usually in Gram-positive bacteria. The record is from RNAcentral. Lineage: Bacteria; Bacillati; Bacillota; Bacilli; Lactobacillales; Enterococcaceae.
AACAAGACAAGGUUCAAGAGGAGUAUUUGUUGCCCUGGUGUGUAGAGAAAAGUCGGUUGGUGCAAGACUUUCCCAGAAACAAAGAAGGUAGCUUGAAGGUCUUUGAUCUGAAGAUCAGGUUGAUCCAAGGACAAACGCGUCGUGACCGUUAACUCACGUCAAAGUGGCAGAGAAAUCUGCAAUUUAGGUGGUACCGCGUAUCAGCGCCCUAAAU